Molecule: ribosomal RNA, 502 nt
Filed under: uncultured bacterium
Lineage: Bacteria
Description: partial 16S ribosomal RNA
Rfam family: Bacterial small subunit ribosomal RNA
Source: RNAcentral
AGCGAACGCUGGCGGCGUGCCUAACACAUGCAAGUCGAACGGGAAAGGGCGCAAUCCCAAGUAAGGUGGCGUACGGGUGAGUAACACGUAGGUAAUCUACCCCAGAAUCUGGAAUAACCGGCCGAAAGGCAGCCUAAUACUGGAUAGAGCGACGGAAUCCGCAAUAUGGUGUUGCGGGAAAGGUAGCCGGUGAAAAGGCCUUAGUCCUGGGAUGAGCCUGCGUCGCAUCAGCUAGUUGGUGAGGUUAAAGCUAAGCAAGGCAGUGACGGGUAGCUGGUCUGAGAGGACGGGCAGCCACACUGGGACUGUGACACGGUCCAGAGGCCUACGGGAGGCAGCAGGGGGGAAUCGUGCGCAAUCGACGGAAGUCUGACCCAGCUGCGCCGCGGCAGGGUAGAGGGCCGUCGCGUGGUGAAGCUCUGUCGAGUGGGUCGAAAACGCUUUGACUUCACAGCUCCAGGAACUGACGGUACCACUAAAGGAAGCACCGGCUAACUCCGUG